UAGCUACAGGCUUAACACAUGCAAGUCGAGGGGAAACGACAUCGAAAGCUUGCUUUUGAUGGGCGUCGACCGGCGCACGGGUGAGUAACGCGUAUCCAACCUGCCCACCACUUGGGGAUAACCUUGCGAAAGUAAGACUAAUACCCAAUGACGUCUCUAGAAGACAUCUGAAAGAGAUUAAAGAUUUAUCGGUGAUGGAUGGGGAUGCGUCUGAUUAGCUUGUUGGCGGGGUAACAGCCCACCAAGGCGACGAUCAGUAGGGGUUCUGAGAGGAAGGUCCCCCACAUUGGAACUGAGACACGGUCCAAACUCCUACGGGAGGCAGCAGUGAGGAAUAUUGGUCAAUGGACGAGAGUCUGAACCAGCCAAGUAGCGUGCAGGAUGACGGCCCUAUGGGUUGUAAACUGCUUUUAUAAGGGAAUAAAGUGAGUCUCGUGAGACUUUUUGCAUGUACCUUAUGAAUAAGGACCGGCUAAUUCCGUGCCAGCAAGCCGCGGUAAUACGGAAGGUCCGGGCGUUAUCCGGAUUUAUUGGGUUUAAAGGGAGCGUAGGCCGGUGAUUAAGCGUGUUGUGAAAUGUAGACGCUCAACGUCUGCACUGCAGCGCGAACUGGUUUCCUUGAGUACGCACAAAGUGGGCGGAAUUCGUGGUGUAGCGGUGAAAUGCUUAGAUAUCACGAAGAACUCCGAUUGCGAAGGCAGCUCACUGGAGCGCAACUGACGCUGAAGCUCGAAAGUGCGGGUAUCGAACAGGAUUAGAUACCCUGGUAGUCCGCACGGUAAACGAUGGAUGCCCGCUGUUGGUCUGAAUAGGUCAGCGGCCAAGCGAAAGCAUUAAGCAUCCCACCUGGGGAGUACGCCGGCAACGGUGAAACUCAAAGGAAUUGACGGGGGCCCGCACAAGCGGAGGAACAUGUGGUUUAAUUCGAUGAUACGCGAGGAACCUUACCCGGGCUUGAAUUGCAGAGGAAGGAUUUGGAGACAAUGACGCCCUUCGGGGCCUCUGUGAAGGUGCUGCAUGGUUGUCGUCAGCUCGUGCCGUGAGGUGUCGGCUUAAGUGCCAUAACGAGCGCAACCCCUCUCCUUAGUUGCCAUCAGGUCAAGCUGGGCACUCUGGGGACACUGCCACCGUAAGGUGUGAGGAAGGUGGGGAUGACGUCAAAUCAGCAC
This 1169-nucleotide ribosomal RNA is filed under the name uncultured bacterium. Its description in RNAcentral is "bacterial SSU rRNA". It matches the Rfam family "Bacterial small subunit ribosomal RNA", at positions 37 to 1196 of the family's 1533-position model. The record is from RNAcentral.